UUGCACAAAAAAUAACAAAAGGCUUUAAAGAAUGCCAUACAACAGGACGGGACCUUGAAAUCCUUCUGGUCCAGUUUCCUAAGACAGCGAAAAUAGCAAUGAAGGUGCAGUCGUCUCUUAAUAUCCUACUAAAACCCUCAGACGCUCAAAUUUCCUAUGUAUAAAUUGGCACAGCGUUGCAUAGAACCUCCACACGUCUGCAGGACACUUUAAAUCAUCUCUAGGUUACUUACAGCACCUAGUGUAAUGCACAUGCUGUAUCAUAGGGUGUUGUGCUGUAUUGCUUAGGGAAUAAUGACAAUAAAAAGUCUAGAUGUGUCUGCUAUAGGCAUGAUUUUUCUCCCCCCAAAUACCCUUGAUCUGUGAUUGGUUGAAUCUGUAAGCGCAGAACCCUCAGACACCAGGGCCAGCUUGAAUUUCCUCCUUUACUCUGAAUGAAGAUUUGGUGUCAAACCCAAGAUCCCUUAAAGAAAGACAGAAGCUUCAACUUGAGCUCUCUUUGGCCCUCAGGAAUCUCUAAUUUUGCAGCAGGUGCAGUAACUGGGGUGCAAAUAGUUGAUGAAGAGGAAGUUUUCUUCCUUUUCAAGAUGCAACUGGGUAACAAUCCCAGGGAUUAGUCAGGAAGGAUCUAGCUAAUUCCGUGGUCAAAAACUUCUCCCACUUUUCCGGCACAUUUUGGAAAAAUGACUAAAAUGUUCUGUACAUCCAUUUUCCCAAGUAGAAAUUCAGAAAAAAAUUAUUUCAACCUAUUUUAUAGAAGGAUUGGAAGGAUAACACAACCCGGGAUUAGAUGGAAGAAACUCUUGGCUCCGAUGGUCCUGUCCUGGGGAAGAUGGCCGGGCCCCAGGGAAGCCCAUGUUGUGUAAGUUGUGCCUCUAGGACAACUGGUCUGAUUAGAAUCUAUUAUCAGGGCAUUGGUAAGUGUCCCACGUGGGCCCUGGAGUGAAAGUGUAAGGGGAGCGGGUGGCCUGUCCUCACCCCAGAGCCAAGCUCUCAGCCCUGUGGGCCUCAACUGGGCAGCCAAAGCCCCUGUCCUCUCUCAGCCCACCGCAGAAAGUCUUUUUAUUUUACCACACGCACAUUUUCUUCCCUCCCUCGGCAAUGACUCAGAGCACUUUACAGCUCGCAGUUUUAGGAAUGUUCUAGCUGUUUCUCAUUUUAGGGAGGGAGCAGGUUCUGGGGCUGAGCGCGACCUGAUCUUUCUGAGUCAGAUCUCCUCUCAAGCCAACCUCAGCCAGCUGUUGCCUAACGACACUUGUUGUGCGGACACCGGACACCCGUGAGGACAUACACAGACCCAGAGGAGGGGCCCGCAUCGCCUCUGGGUCGCAUGGUGUGGCCUGUUAUUAAAUUUUCUUCUCUUUCUACUUUUCAAACUUUUUUGUUAAAAACUAGGACACGGACCCCACAUGAGCCUGCGGCAGGAGCUUCCAUUCUGCUGUGCAUCUUGUCCCCCUGAAGGUCUGGGGGCAGCAACUUGCAGGGAGCUGCCACCUGUGACAGCGAUGCCCUCUCCUGAGGGAGACGCCUGCCCGACAGGUAGGUAGGUGUCCACUCUAGAACAACAAUCAAGGGCAAGUCAAUACAUCAACCAGCAACAGUCGUCGGUUUCCAUUUUCAAGUCUGACUUGAAAACGUGCCUGUACUUUACUGAAUGCCCUUCCGUGUGACUGGCAGUGCCAUGGGCUCACUUCACCAGGACCACCAGAGACCCGAGGAGGGAGUCAUGCUAAGACAUUGCAGUAGCCACGGCACCACCUGGCCUUGGGAACUUCCCAGCUCCUGUAUGACCUUAUGGACCCACAGUCCUAUCAUUGAACACAACGCCCAUAUGCAGUGCUGGACUGAGUGGCCCUGAGGGUCUCUGGUGGUCCCUGAUCACUUUUCCCACUGCAGGCCCAAAAUGUGCACUGGGCAUUCCUCCCUGGCCUUUGUUGUUUUUGUAGAAGGUUCUCAGCUGGCCCAGUGUAGCCACAUGGGCCAAAUGCCAGAGGGCCAAGCUCGGGACCUUCAGUCUGUGGACAGCAGAGAGCAAAGCCCGAAUCCACCACUGGCCAUAGAACUCGGCCAUUUCUCCCAUUAGCUUGUUCAGUCCUCCGGAGAGCCCAGGGAGGAGGCCCCUGACUCCCAUUCACAACCAAGGGGAAGGCGGACAACCAAGGGGAAGGGUAGCAACUUCUCCAGAUCCCCAGGCUUCUUGCUGUUCCCCCAGAGGCCACUUCAGAGACGUCAUCUUCCUGGCAGAUGAUCGGGCGAGGGCUCAGGGAGACGUCAGGCAGAUUCCUGACCCUGCAGGGUAAUCGGACUCGCCUGAAGGAGCGAGCAGACAGCACUUCGCAGGCCUCGGGCCUAAAGGUACAGUCAACAGGAUGCUGAGCCCUGGAGCCCUUGGACCUCAGGGUCUCCUGUGCCACUUGCUCCCUGUCUUGUGCCCAGGACAGAUGGGUCCGGCCAUCUGGGGGCUUCCUUUCUAAGAGUCUGAGCACAUCAGUGACUGAUGUUGCCUUGACUCUGGAUCCAGGGCCUCCCUCCCUGCCCCGGGUUUUAAAUUCCUCUUAGGAAGAACAGCUGGUCACUGCAGGGUCAUGUGACCCUUGAACACCUUAUGAGCAGAUUAGCAUCACAGUACAGACUGUGUCCUUCAUGGGAAAACUUGGGACCAGAGUGUUGUAGAGUUUGGAUUUUUUUUUUCCAGAUUUUAGAAAUGUUUGCAUGUACAUAAUGAGAUAUCUUGGGGAUAAAUGCAAACUUCAUUUAUGUUUCAUAUUAGUGUGUACACAUGGCCUGAAGGUAAUUUUAUACAAUGUUCUUACUAAUUCUGUUGCAUUCUGCAACCCAUCGCAGGAGGUCAGGUGUGGAGUUUUCCACUUGUCGGGUCCAUGAUUCAAGAGUUUCAGAUUUGGGGCUUGUGCUAAGGAUGCUCAAGGUCUACAGAGGAACAAGCAGAGCAGUCAGAUGCCUGGGCCCGAAUCCUGACUCCCUCGCACACACCAGCAGUGUGAACACAGGCGGGUCCUUUGCUGCUUCCUGCCUCGGUUUCCUCAUCUGUAAAAGGACAGGGAUAGCAGUGCCGUCUUGCAGGGCUGUUUGAAGAUUCGAUGAGUGCUUGCGCAUGGAGGCGCAUGGAGCCGCGUGGGGGCAGGAGUUGGCACCAUCUUUGAUCUGUACACAUCUCUUGCAGCACUGGGCAGAGCCCCCCUGAAGGGACCUCAGGAGGACCUCGUGCAGGCUGGGGACAUUCUGUCUUCUGAGUCGAGCUGCUCUGUCUAAGAAAAUUCUUCCUACGUUUUGCCAAAAGUCGCCUCCCUGCAACUCCUCCUCGUGGGUCCUGGUUCUGUCAGAAGCAAAUGUCAAACAACAGUCCUGAAGGAGAAGACCUGGGACAUCAGUAGUCCCGAUGGAACUGGGCUGGGUGACGGCAUCUCCUGCAGCGGCCAUCCCCGUGGCUCUUAGCCCCAGAGCCAGGCCCGGACUGAAGUCAAGGAUCUUUCAGUGAAAUUUGAAAAACCAAAAAGUUCUCAGUUCUUGGAUGCUUCUAUUAGCAAAGCAUAAAACAGCUUCUUUCUCCACUCUUUCAGCCCAGAGCGUGCUGCCAGACUGGCAGGAGGCCAAGGGGAAAGGCACUCUCCUUGUGCAAAGAUGACAGUCACACGGCUCUGGAGCCAUGACCUCACCUCAGUUAAUACGUGCUGUCCGGCCUGUAAUCACUGAGCAUCCAGGGAGUGGGCCAGCGAGGUAGCCACCCGCGUCAGGCCUCCUGUUUACAGAGCCUUUCUGGCGUCAGGUGUAAAAUCAUGACCCGCGAGUCCCCUUCCUGCCUCGCCUGGCAGCCCUUUGGAAGCUGGCGUGUGCGCUGUGACACAGGAGGAAUGCACCCGUCUUUUUUUAGAUUGAUAGCUUGGCUCUCUGAUGACUCCUGUUAAAAACAACUUGUACACUUGAAGUUCACAGCAUCAGAGUGGGGAACCUGCAUCAGGUGCCUUCGGGCCGGGCAGGGGGAGUUUGGUCUCCGGAGUGUGGGCAAAAGAACGGUUGCAUUAUUUUUCUAAAUCAGAGGUCAUCUGGCAAUAUCAGUCACUAUUUGGUUACUUUGUCCAUCCAGCUGCUCAUCCAAGAGGAAGCAUACUUUGGGGCACUGUGGCCAGGCCUCUGCUGCCCUGGCUUCUGGGGCCGAGCACUGCUGUAGCUGAGGGUCCCAUGGAUCUCAGGCUCUUGCGAGUGCUCCAAGGACUUGGCCCCAGAAAUGCCCCUCCCUGGGUCAAGAACCCACAGGUGUCUGCAGCCUCUGUCUUUCCCCGCCCAGGUGCCGUGUGCAGAAAGGCCUCGCUCCAGUCCUGGUGUGCCCCCCACCCUUUUCCCCUCAGGCAUGCAGAAGCACUCUGCCAAGGCUGCCCCUGCCACUUUGCAUGAGCCUCCCUUCCUCCCUCCCUCACCAAGGGACAGUCCGAUGACAGCAGUCCUCCCUUCUUCAAGGGGGAUGUAUUUCAAGAGCCCAGACGAUGCCUGAACCCGGGAAUAGUACCAAACCCGGGACCUACUGUUUUUCCCCAGACGCUUAGACCCACAAGAGUUUAGGGCCGAUUCCAUCCUGACCAAACCCUACCCCAUACGAUGGCUACAGCGUUCGCAGCGUGAGGUGGGACAGCGACGGGGCGUGGGUUUCUUCCCCUUCUUCACCGCAUCAUGGACAGACAGACGCUCCUUCUUACCCACAGAUCUUUGCAACUUCAGUUCAUGGUUUGUUUCCUUCUUAAGUCAAGAACUUUCCCUUUUCCUCUCACAGGAAGCGCUUCAUGGCCUAUCUGACUGCCAGCGUCCCUGCUCUUGUGCUCAGGGGCCAUGAUUAAGUAAAAUAAAGGCCGCCUGAACACAGGCACUGUGAUCUGAUAACAGGGAUGGCUGGGAGGUGACUAAGGGCGGGUGAGGUCCUCGGUGCCAAUGUCCAGGACGGUGUUCCUGGUGUGCGACUUGGGUGGAUGGAGCCCAGUGCGAUUUAAAAUGUAGGCACUGCUUACUCCUGGAGUUUUUCCCUUCACAUUUCAAGGAUGAAGCAGGUCACUGAAAGCUCAGAAGGGAAAUGGGGGAAGGGCCCAGAAAAGAGACCCCAGAACUCUCAAAAUGGGGAGGCGCCCGUGGGAAAGGAAGCCGAGUGCUUCUCCCUGAUGCGGGGCAGGACCACGGCCAGCCACACACCCGAGACACAGCCCGGGCUUCCCAAGCCCUGCCCUGGUGACCUGGUUUCAUGUACAUCACUGAAUCCUGUCAGGUGCUCCAAGUCCAGGUUAUCAGCCCAUCUCUGGGUCCCAGGGUCAACCAAGGUCGCCUGAGCAUCUCUUCUCAGCAGCAGGUUCUGAAGGCUCCAUUCCCACAAAGUUGGUCAGCUGGGGACCAGCAGCUGCCAUUCCUAUUCCUCUAUGUGCAGGGAGGGGUCAGGCAUGAGACCCAGGCAGGGACAGCUUGGCCUCCAUUCUUUAGAAAGAAAGCAUUGUUUUUGAUCCAGACAGAUUUUAUGUUUUCUGCAUUUUAAAUAUUAGCUAGUGCUAGUCCCUCAUCACUUGACCUCAGGCAUCAGGGCGGCCUUGUACCCUGAGACCUCUUUUGUGAAUCUGGGGACCUGCCUCCCAGGGCUGUCCUCCCCGGGCCUCUGGGACACAGAGGUAUUGUGUUUUCUCUCCGGCUUCUCUGAACACUUCCUUGGUGGGCUAUCCCCGGCCACCUCUCCUCCCUCCUCCCCACAGGUGGACCGGUCCCAAGGUUCUGGCCUUGGACCUCCUGCUUCGGGUCAUAACUGCUCCCAGUUUACUGAGGGCAUGAACUCCCUCCUGAAUCAACAGAGGACACUGACUCACCAGCAGGGGACCUCCUGGGCAGCAGACCUCUCUACGGUGGAGUGGGUGGAGUGCCGUCUCUAUGCCCACAUCCCCCACAGAGCCAGGCACCUCUGACCUGUGCUGGCUGCACAUCACCCAGCACCCCCCUCCCCGACUCCUGCCCAGCCCCCUUCUCCGUCUUGCUCCCAAGUCACAGGAAGCUCUAGAAGACACAGGCCUGCAGUCACAGGCUCUAGCCACUCACCUCUCACUCCUUCCUGGCAGAACUCCCAGCUCCUGCUGUGGGAGGUCUUUAGAUGACCUCUGAUUCCUUGUCCAUCUUCCUUCUCAGGAACCCAUGCGGAAGCCAGGGGAACAGGCCUCCUGAGCCGCUUUCCAUUCUUGCCUCGUCUCAGGGGGAGGUCCCCCUUCUCUCCCCACAGGCCCUGCUGUCUGCCCUCCCAGGCCCUUGCCGACCGAGUGCCCUGAAUCUCUCUGGCCUCACUUCCUCCCCUGCACAGGGGAGCUAAUCGAACCAGUGUGGGCACUGGAGUAAAGAUGAGGGGACACGGUGAAACGUGUCACCUAGAACCUCAUGAAGUCAGUGCUCCCUCUCGGGAGGUGAUGGUGAUGGUGAGGAUGGUGAUGCCCAAAGUGGACUGUCCCUGAGAUGGAUCAACCUGAAGGUCUCCCCUUUGUCCCCACAAGGGGCCUCAGGUCCACCCACAGCUGGCUACACCAAGCCUGAGGCUUGACCUGUGCUCCCACACCUUCAUACACCCGAGGUCAGGUCAGAGCACUGCCGUGUCCUGGUGUUGGUUCUUCUACCCAUCCACAGUGUGCAGAAUGAAAGGUGGCCUGUCCAUCUCUAAUGCUGUGUUGGACCCCUCACCCUUGCUCUGUGCCCUCCCACUGCUGAGAGGUUCCCCAAUGCUCCUCCACCCUGAACUCCGCCAUCCCACAGUGUCCUGCCAGUGUCUCCCACGUGCCAGGCACAGUACUAGAUGCCCAUGUAGGAGCCGUUUACCGAGCACUCACUGCGCGCCAGGCACUGUCUUGAGCACGUCUCCGAGUGGACUCAUUAGCACAUGCUCAUUUACAUACAUUUUGCAUAUAUGGAAAUUUCAUCCUCCUAACAGAUCUGUUUACUCCUCAGAAAACUCCUGAGAGGCAGCUGCCAGAGGAUGGCCUUGUCACAGCCCAACUGAGAGGGUGAGGCUGCCCCGGGUGAUCCCGCCCCGCAGUACAGAGGCCGCCGUGGUGGCCCCGAUGCCCAGGCUCCGCAGCGGGCCACGCGCCGCAUCCCUGGAC
This 7121-nucleotide long non-coding RNA is filed under the name Marmota monax (woodchuck). The record is from RNAcentral. Lineage: Eukaryota; Metazoa; Chordata; Mammalia; Rodentia; Sciuridae.